CAAAGGGGACUCGGCCGCCAUGUUAGGAGUACUGGGACGAUUCCGCGGAGCCGGGCAGAGGUUUUAGGGGAAUGAUUAACAAAGGCGUCCGAAGAAAUCGUUGUUGGAAGGUGGCCAAAGUGGAAAGAGAGGUUGCUUUGGCCCUGCAAGUAAGAAGAGAGAAGGAAUAGCCUGAAGGAGUAACACUAAAUUUAAAAUGACACUUUUUUACCAACCAGCGAAAGCAGAUGUUCAAAGGGGAUAUUGGCCAGGUGCGGUCGCUCACGCCUUUAAUCCCAGCACUUUGGGGGCAGACGCGGGGAGAUAGCGUGAUUCUAGGAGUCCAACCCCGGCCUGGGCAACAUGCGGAGACCCCGUACCGUCUCUACAAAAACAUUAAACAAAAAAAUUAGCUGGGCAUGGUGGUGUACCCCUGUAGUUGCAGCUACACUAGAGGCUGAGGUGGGAGGAUCUCUGAGCCCG
Molecule: long non-coding RNA, 462 nt
Filed under: Pan troglodytes (chimpanzee)
Lineage: Eukaryota; Metazoa; Chordata; Mammalia; Primates; Hominidae
Description: long non-coding RNA NONPTRT002782
Source: RNAcentral